GCAAAGAAAUCACACAUUGCUGGGUGCUUGAUUUUUUUUAGAGACACUUAUUUGCUUUAAAAAGUCUUUUAAAAUGUCAAUGACGUCAUACACAUCGUACGACCAGAGGUACUGCUUUAUGGCAAUCCUUCAGUCAGUUUGGUGCUUUCAGAGAAUGUCUAUGGUGCUUUCCAGAGCCGUUGAAAAAUUAUUUAAUCGCUCUGAUGCUUUCGUGCUCUGAUUUUGGACAUUAGCCAACUUGGCAUUUGGCCAACUUUCCCUCCCACGUGAACCUCCGUAAAUUCAGGUUGGCUUUGACGAUUAACAGUCCACAUGGGUUAACUUUUUUCGUCCUUGGCAAAUGAGAAAUAGGACAACCCUUGCCCGCUAUUAGAACAAUUUAUCAUUGCACACCUGUGAGGCAUUUUUCUUUUUUUUUCUUUUUCAGUUUUUAAUUGAUAUUUAGCACUAUUGAGCGUGACAUUUGUGUUUAAGGUGGCGAUACUAUACCAUAUGUAUCCGGUAUUUCUUAACACAAGAAGUACUCAAAUUCAAUUUAUUUUCCAUGUAAAUUUCAAAGUACAUGUAUAUCAAUAGACAGAUAAAAUUGCCAGCAAAAAAAAAAGUUGCUGCGUUGAAAAGAAAAACUUGGGCGAAAAAGUCCGCCUUAACAUUCUGAUCCCGCUGAUUCUGAAGCCAUCAAGCGGUAUCUCUGGUCAUUAUCAUUCCUUCACUGACCAAUUAGCGCUCAUUAGCAGAAUGCUAGUGUGUUAUGGGCAACAACUCAACCUGUAGGAAAUCGAAAGGACAUAAGUACUCGUUCAUUCAACUUUUGACCUAUAACCCAUGUUGAACUUGCAAAACCUACAAUCAUAUCUGAGAUUUCGGGUGAAAGGGACAAAUUUAGCGAGCAGGGUAUAACUGCAGCCUGGAGAACUCCAAAAGGGGCGAAAACUCAAAUGGGGUGGGACCUCCAAAAUAGAGCAUGGCUUCCUCCCAUUGAGAGAGUUGUCACAGGCCGGAACGGGCCCCUACCGAAUGUACCACCUCGAGGAGUUUACCCAGAGACAGCACAGACGGACAGCAAGGUAAGUAUAAAUGUUCAGUUUUAUCAAGUUAAGAUCCUAAAUACUAAAACACGUGAUGGAAGAGUUCCAACUCUGUUCCCCUCGGUCCAGCAGCGGUGGGGGCUCUUGGUACAAUCUUCCCAACCCAAGAGAUAACAGAAUGGGAAGCCAACUCAAUCCUUCCACAGAGCAGAUAACAGCACAGAUAGGGCUACGAGAUCUCCACGCAGCAAUUCCUUUCCAAGCAGUCGUUGCUCGCUUUUUCUGGUCUUGGAGAUGGGAAUUGGCGUAAAGCUUGGAGAACAGUAGACAAAUUUUAUAUUAAUAAAGUAAAAGAGUUUUCUUUUAAAAUAAUGCAUAGAAUAGAUCCAGUUAAACAUGUGCUGGAAUGCUUUAAAUCAGAAAUUGAUUACUCUUGUGAUGUCUGUAAAGGUGAAAAGGAAAUUAUUUUUCAUUUAUUUUUUCAUUGUAUACAUACAAAAAUAUGGACUGAUGUGGAGUUUUUUAUUAAGAAAAUAUUGGACAUUUAUUUGCAGUUGAGUGGAUUUGAUGUAAUAAUAUACUUCAGUGAUCAUGGAGUUGACAAAGAUGAAGCAUAUUUCAUACAAUUGUUAAUUGUAAUGGGGAAGUUUUAUAUUCAUAAAAUGAAGUGGUCAGGCUCCAAACCAAACUUUUCUCAUUUUCUAAAUGAUUCCAAGCUGAAUUGUAAGAUUCUAUGAAAUUGCACAAGUAAAAAACCUAUUCGAGCUUAUAGUAAACAGGUAUAAAGUGACACCCCCAAAAUAUUUAUCUAUUUAUUUUUAUGUUGUUAUUGUCCUCUGGCAUGGUUUUCAUAUUAAUGUUGUUCAUAUUUUUUUCCUUCUCAUUUUAAUGUUUCUCGUUGCAUUGUUUUGAUGUAUGGUAUAAUAAAAUUAAAAUAAAACAAAGUU
Molecule: long non-coding RNA, 1975 nt
Organism: Carassius gibelio (silver crucian carp)
Lineage: Eukaryota; Metazoa; Chordata; Actinopteri; Cypriniformes; Cyprinidae
Exons: 2
Source: RefSeq, a predicted model, not a curated record